RNAcentral lists this transfer RNA (67 nucleotides) under Hydatina physis. Its description in RNAcentral is "tRNA-Asp". Lineage: Eukaryota; Metazoa; Mollusca; Gastropoda; Aplustridae. The record is from RNAcentral.
GCUAGUCUAGUUAAAAUGAAUAAUAUUAGCUUGUCGAGCUUAAGAUAGACUUCUGGUCUGACUGGUU